RNAcentral lists this ribosomal RNA (425 nucleotides) under uncultured bacterium. Its description in RNAcentral is "bacterial SSU rRNA". It matches the Rfam family "Bacterial small subunit ribosomal RNA", at positions 354 to 796 of the family's 1533-position model. The record is from RNAcentral.
GUGGGGAAUCUUGCGCAAUGGGCGAAAGCCUGACGCAGCCAUGCCGCGUGAAUGAUGAAGGUCUUAGGAUUGUAAAAUUCUUUCACCGGGGACGAUAAUGACGGUACCCGGAGAAGAAGCCCCGGCUAACUUCGUGCCAGCAGCCGCGGUAAUACGAAGGGGGCUAGCGUUGCUCGGAAUUACUGGGCGUAAAGGGCGCGUAGGCGGACAGUUUAGUCAGAGGUGAAAGCCCAGGGCUCCACCUUGGAAUUGCCUUUGAUACUGGCUGUCUUGAGUACGGGAGAGGUGAGUGGAACUCCGAGUGUAGAGGUGAAAUUCGUAGAUAUUCGGAAGAACACCAGUGGCGAAGGCGACUCACUGGCCCGUUACUGACGCUGAGGCGCGAAAGCGUGGGGAGCAAACAGGAUUAGAAACCCUGGUAGUCC